AGCAGCCGCGGUAAUUCCAGCUCCAAUAGCGUAUAUUAAAGUUGUUGCAGUUAAAAAGCUCGUAGUUGAAUUUCGGGAUUCUUCCGUUGGUCGGGCUAUCCAGUCUGUACUAGCGUGUAGAAUUCCUACCUUCUGGGGAACCAUCAUGUUAUUAAUUUAGCGUGGUGGGAAACCAGAACCUUUACCUUGAAAAAAUUAGAGUGUUCAAAGCAGGCUUACGUCUGAAUACAUUAGCAUGGAAUAAUAGAAUAGGACGGUGGUCCUGUUUUGUUGGUUUCUGAAUCACCGUAAUGAUUAAUAGGGAUAGUUGGGGGCAUUAGCAUUCAAUUGUCAGAGGUGAAAUUCUUGGAUUUAUUGAAGACUAACUUCUGCGAAAGCAUUUGCCAAGGAUGUUUUCAUUAAUCAAGAACGAAAGUUAGGGGAUCGAAGACGAUCAGAUACCGUCGUAGUCUUAACCAUAAACUAUGCCGACUAGGGAUCGGACGAUGUUAAAUUUUAUUGACUCGUUCGGCGCCUUACG
This 520-nucleotide ribosomal RNA is filed under the name uncultured Scutellospora. RNAcentral's name for it is "SSU rRNA". It matches the Rfam family "Eukaryotic small subunit ribosomal RNA", at positions 569 to 1092 of the family's 1831-position model. Lineage: Eukaryota; Fungi; Glomeromycota; Glomeromycetes; Diversisporales; Gigasporaceae. The record is from RNAcentral.